Molecule: transfer-messenger RNA, 285 nt
Filed under: Methylobacterium dankookense
Lineage: Bacteria; Pseudomonadati; Pseudomonadota; Alphaproteobacteria; Hyphomicrobiales; Methylobacteriaceae
Description: beta_tmRNA
Rfam family: Alphaproteobacteria transfer-messenger RNA
About the family: Bacterial tmRNA, also known as 10Sa RNA or SsrA, is named for its dual tRNA and mRNA-like properties. Its role is to liberate the mRNA from a stalled ribosome.
Source: RNAcentral
CCACUAUAUUCCCCUUGCCGGUCGCAAGGCCGGCUAUGGCGAUAAACGUUCUUCGGAAUAAACCUAUCGGACCCGGGGGCGGUACCCGGCGCCUCCACCCGAGCCCAGGACAUGCUGCCGCAAGGCGCGUGACGUGCAGACUGGGCUUCGGCGGGGGCGAAAUAGGAUCGACGAGGGCGUAAAGGUUGAGCUUUCGCUCGGCAUGGUUCCGCCGUUAUCGGGCCAUUGCAAUAGUUGCCAACGACAACUUUGCUCCGGUGGCGGUGGCCGCGUAAGCGGUCCCCA